Molecule: ribosomal RNA, 779 nt
Filed under: uncultured Neocallimastigales
Lineage: Eukaryota; Fungi; Neocallimastigomycota; Neocallimastigomycetes; Neocallimastigales
Description: partial large subunit ribosomal RNA
Rfam family: Eukaryotic large subunit ribosomal RNA
Source: RNAcentral
AUAGAGACUCAGAGCUGCAUAUCAAUAAGCGGAGGAAAAGAAACUAACUAGGAUUCCCUUAGUAACGGCGAGUGAUGCGGGAAGAGCUCAAAUUUGAAAUCUUCAAGGUUCUACCUUGACGAAUUGUAGUUUAAAGAAGUGUUUUCUGUUAGAUGAGUUAGGCUAAAAGUUCCUUGGAAUCGGACAUCAUAGAGGGUGAGAAUCCCGUAUUUGACUUAUUCAUUCUAGCGUUGUGAUACACUUUCAAAGAGUCGGAUUGUUUGGGAAUGCAGUCCAAAAUGGGUGGUAAAUUUCAUCUAAAGCUAAAUAUUGGCGAGAGACCGAUAGCGAACAAGUACCGUGAGGGAAAGAUGAAAAGAACUUUGAAAAGAGAGUUAAACAGUAGCGUGAAAUUGUCAAAAGGGAAGCGUUUGACACCAGUGUUGUUUUUCCGAAAAUCAAUUACGAAUGGCUUGAUUUUGUGUUGUAUUGACCUUAUCAGCUUUCUGCACUUUUUUCGAGUCUUUCUUAAUGCACUUUUCGGUUAACAAGUCAACAUCAAUUUCUUUUGUUGUAAAAGAGUAUUCGGAAGGUGGCUUUCUUUUCGGAGAAAGUGUUUAUAGCCCUAUACUUCUACAAUCGGAGAGAUUGAGGUCUGCAGCGUAGAUCCUUCGGGGUUAGAUACACUUGUGCUAAGUUGUAGCUUUUCAUAGACAACUUGUUGACUAUGUUUAGUCAUGCGGCUUACUCGCUUGUGCUAUUUUACCUACGCUUAGGAUGUUGACGAUCAGCUGAGCGCG